This 60-nucleotide microRNA precursor is filed under the name Sarcophilus harrisii (Tasmanian devil). Its description in RNAcentral is "Sha-Mir-103-P2_pre stem-loop". It matches the Rfam family "mir-103/107 microRNA precursor family", at positions 11 to 70 of the family's 78-position model. Rfam says of the family: This family consists of the mammalian microRNA (miRNA) precursors mir-103 and mir107. Lineage: Eukaryota; Metazoa; Chordata; Mammalia; Dasyuromorphia; Dasyuridae. RNAcentral also lists the same sequence under 2 other names. The record is from RNAcentral.
AGCUUCUUUACAGUGCUGCCUUGUUGCAUUGAUGUCAAGCAGCAUUGUACAGGGCUAUGA